RNAcentral lists this ribosomal RNA (834 nucleotides) under Triticum aestivum (bread wheat). RNAcentral's name for it is "partial small subunit ribosomal RNA". The record is from RNAcentral. Lineage: Eukaryota; Viridiplantae; Streptophyta; Magnoliopsida; Poales; Poaceae.
CAUCUCGUGUUGGUCAAGUCUGUGAUUGCAGCCAAGCCCAUCCAUCAUUUCAUGGUCACGAAGGCCCCUUCUUGGGUGUUCGAAGAGAUAGAUCAAUAGAUGUGUUCUUUCUUUUGGGCCGUCAAAGACAAAGUGAAUGGCGGUCAGUGCUUGGUGGCUUGGAAUUCGGCUUGUAAACCCACUUGUCUUGGUGUUCUGGGUGUUCGCAACCUUCAAUUGCAAGGCUUGGCCUUGAGAGUGAGGUGGGAGUGGUUGAGGCGGACGGACCCCGAGAGGCCGUGGCAAGGGCUACCCAUGGUUGUGGACAAGGAGGCUCAUGCGGUCUUUGACAUUAUGGUGCAUAUUUCGGUUGGGGUGGGCAACAAAGUUCUAUUCUGGAGAGAUAGGUGGAUCCAUGGCUUCCUGGUUAAAGACAUUGCACCAUACAUCCAUGCUUUUGUUGACACACGAACGAUAAACCGCCGCAUGGUGGAGGAAGGCUUAGAGAAUGGGAGAUGGCUGCUUGAUAUUUCCGGUGAAGUCAACUUUGGAGGCCAUAUGCAACUCUUACACCUCAACCUAGCGAUCAGCAUGGUCAAUCGUGACCCUUUCAGUGAAGACUCUUUUUCCUGGCCGGCGGAUCCAUCUGGCAGAUACACUUCCAAGUCCACAUACUAUAGGCUCUGUUUGGGUGCUGAGAGGGUCCCUUAUGCCACAUGCAUAUGGAAGAGUUGGGACCUCCUCAAGUGCAAAAUCUUCGUGUGGCUGGCAGUACAACACCGGAUUUGGACCUCUGACAGAAGAGCAAGGCAUGGCCUUCAGGACACCCUACAUGUGCCUUCAAGAGGAGGAUAA